GUAAAAACAUGACAAUAAGCUGUAAAGGAUUUUUUUUCCUUGGUCUUGAGCACUGCCUUGCAGACUCCCCAGAGCCCCUGGAAGUUUGUCCAGGCUCCAGAAAGCAUCCUCUGAGUGAUAUACUUGCUUCCUAAGCCUUAAAUUAUCUAAAGCUUGAAACAGGGGAAACAUGUGCCCAGCAACUGUGUUAGAUCAGCAGCAACAGAAAAACGACAAGGGCUCUAAAGCUUUUCUCUUGCUCUCACUUACUGGGCUCUGUUAAAUUCUCACACUUUGCUGUUCUGUCUCCUGUGCAGUUUUUUCAUCGGCUGAGAAUUUGGUCCCAGAAGUGCCCGAGUGCUUACACAUGAAUUGUGUCUUAUUCACCAUCUCAUCAGAGACUGAUAACAGCUUCAGAGAGAUCUCAAUGCCUAUGAAGAAAAACAUGGAAAGGCCAGACCUAGUGGGGAAUAAGGAACAAAAACGUUGCACCAAAGGCCAAAGAGCAAGUGCCAUCAACUUCAGUCAAAGAAUAGAGAGUGUUCCUGCUUCCCACCGGCAGUGUUGGUAAACAAAGGCUUUCAAAUCCAGGCAACCUGAAACAACAGAUUUGAAAUUCAAGAGGUAUAAAAUUUCCCCCAAAGCCUCGAAACUCUCCCUGGGUGUUUCAGGGUUUGGCAGGGUUUGUUGCUGUGGAGCAAAGUGAGGAUGGGAGCAGAGUCUCUGGGAGAGACUGCAACUUGUUGCCCAGAAGGAAAAAUAGCACAAAGAAAGGACAGAGCAGACAGAGACCAAAGAAAAACAGAAGAUUAAAAUAAGAACACCAAGGACAGGAACAUGCUAAAAGCAAACAUAUAUUCACUGAACAGACAAACUAAACGGUCACAUUUGAUCCAUGAUCUUUCUGUAAAAGCUUCGUUCAGUGUGGGCAGAAGAGUCAGCCUGUGGAGAAUGACGGGAAUGCAAAGUCGUUAAGGUAGGUCCUGGGCUGAAGUCUGUAAUUACACAUGGACCCUCCACAGGCAGAGUUUGAAACACAAGCCUCAGAGCUCUCUAAGCUAAACAUUUACUGAAGAAUGAGGGAGGACAAAAACAUCUAUUAAGAUGCAGCUUUGAUGCCUUUUUUGGAUGCUUUUUUUUUUUUUUUUUUUUUGAUGUCUGACCUAAUGGUCUUCUUUCUGUGCCCUGACGCUACCGGGGACUUCACGCUCCUGUUUCCCUGCCACCUCUGUAACUCCUCAUCCUGCACCAUGGGGGCAAAGCAGGGUUCAGGGUCUCCCAUACCGGCUGUCCUCAUGCUCACAGCAAACGGGAUGAGAAGAGAGGAGGAUUUGCAAGGUUGGAUCAAGUACUUUUCUGCACUAAACACCUGCUAGGAGGUAAUGAAGCCUUUUCCCCACACCUGGGGGCCUUCUGGGAUGAUGAGCACAAAGGAUGGGAGCAGGGGAACACAAGCGGUUCUCCCAGGCUGUGAAGUUACAGGUGGCAAACUGAGCAGCGGCACAAGGGCAAGUGACUUCUCCGAGGUCAUGCAGCAAGUCCAUGGCGGUUCUGAAAGAGAAGCCCAGACUUCCCACCUCCUCCCAUUCACAGUAAUCUCCCUCUUCAGCUUGGAUGUCAAACGCUGUCUUGAUAGGUGGCUGCAGCAUGACAACCCCUGUAAAUCUCCUCUGGAUUUUAUUAGCUAUCUUGCUUUCAAGCCUGCCUGCAUUACUUAUCAGCAGCUUUCAGGAUGAAUGGCCUGUGAGUCCCCACCGGCAGAUGAUGGGAAGGAAGAUAAAGACACACACUCAAGUAGGAUCAGCUAACCGCUGCUGCUGCCUGCAUAGUGCUGCUACCGCUCCCGAACCAAGCGGCAAAAGCAGCUUUCAAAAUGUGGUGGGAGAGGUAACUCAGGCUCCAGCUGAUUUCAUAGUAAUGUCAUUUCUCUAAGACAUUCCCUUCUACAGUGCUAAAUGAAAGAAAAACCAAUCUGUUAUGAGGGAAAAAGCAGGAAGUCAAUUGAAAUCAGUGGGGUUUUGUUAGAAGCAUUGCUAUGUAGUGCCUCUUCCUGCGGGGCUUCUUGCACGAGCCACCCCUGUGGCUCUCAAAUUUGAAGCCGAUAUGGUAAACUAAAAGCUGUAGAAAUGUUCUGAAUUUGAUGGAAGUCCCUGAUGAGGUUUGCAGGAGCACAUAUAUGAAGCUGUGACUGUCUCCAAAACUCGGUGUUUAUGGACACACCACAUUUAGUUUCAGGAAUCUUCCUUGCUUUGUUUGGACGAAAUCGUAUUUGUUUUCAGUUAAGAAUUCAGCAGCUGAACUCAAGAUCCUAUUGGGCGUGCACAAGGAAAGGCUGACGACGUCUUAGAGAGACGCUGGCCUAAACACGCUGAGACAAAGUUAGCAGAUCUUACUUCUUCCCCAUUAGCACCGUUUUGGCUUAGGAUUGUGUCCUCUGCCAAGCACAGCUGAUAUGCGGAGUGGUUUGCUGUUGCAGCAAGUUAUUUACUGAUUUCCCUCCAGAGAGCUUGAUGGAGAGCCUGGGUGGGAUCUUCCCCAAUAGUGAAGUACAGCCUUCCCUAAUAAAUUCAACA
Long non-coding RNA from Cygnus olor (mute swan), 2552 nucleotides. RefSeq lists it as uncharacterized. The record is from RefSeq and is a predicted model, not a curated record. The transcript is spliced from 4 exons. NCBI's taxonomy places the organism in Eukaryota, Metazoa, Chordata, Aves, Anseriformes, Anatidae.